Molecule: ribosomal RNA, 882 nt
Filed under: uncultured Neocallimastigales
Lineage: Eukaryota; Fungi; Neocallimastigomycota; Neocallimastigomycetes; Neocallimastigales
Description: partial large subunit ribosomal RNA
Rfam family: Eukaryotic large subunit ribosomal RNA (bases 97-882)
Source: RNAcentral
CGCAUCUGUGCAUGCAGCAUAUCAAUAAGCGGAGGAAAAGAAGUAUACCUACGCUUAGGAUGUUGAUACCUACGCUUAGGAUGUUGACGAGACUGUCGAUCUCAUCUAUACAUGACUCUGUGCAUAUCAAUAAGCGGAGGAAAAGAAACUAACAAGGAUUCCCUUAGUAACGGCGAGUGAAGCGGGAAGAGCUCAAAUUUGAAGUCUUCAAGGUUUUACCUUGACGAAUUGUAGUUUAAAGAAGUGUUUUCUGCUGAAGUUUUGGUAAAAGUUCUUUGGAAUAGGACAUCAUAGAGGGUGAGAAUCCCGUAUUUGACCAUUAUUUUCAGCUUUGUGAUACACUUUCAAAGAGUCGGAUUGUUUGGGAAUGCAGUCCAAAAUGGGUGGUAAAUUUCAGUCUAAAGCUAAAUAUUGGCGAGAGACCGAUAGCGAACAAGUACCGUGAGGGAAAGAUGAAAAGAACUUUGAAAAGAGAGUUAAACAGUACGUGAAAUUGUCAAAAGGGAAGCGUUUGACACCAGUGUUGUUUUCUCGAAAAUCAAUUAAAAAUGGCUCGAUUUUGUAUUGCUUGAGACCUUAAAAGCUCACUGUACAUUUUUCGUGUCUUUUUUAAUGCACUUUUCGUUUAACAAGUCAACAUCAGUUUCUUUUGUUGUAAAAGGGUCAUUGGAAGGUGGCUUUCUUUUCGGAGAAAGUGUUUAUAGCCUUUGGCCUCUGCAACCGGAAGAGACUGAGGUCUGCAGCGUAGACUCUUCGGGGUUAGAUACAUUUGUGCUAAGUUAUAGCUUUUUAUAGACAACUUGUUGACUAUAAUUAGUCUUGUAGCUUACUCGCUUAUGCUAUUUUACCUACGCUUAGGAUGUUGACGCAUGAGAUAUACGC